GCAUGCAUACAGCAUAGCAUUAAUGCAUCGGAUCCCAUUAGAACUCCACACUUAAGCGUGCUCAAGAUAGAGUAGUAUUGGGAUGGGUGACCGCCUGGGAAGUCCUAGUGUUUUACAUGCC
Non-coding RNA from Picea glauca (white spruce), 121 nucleotides. The record is from Rfam. Lineage: Eukaryota; Viridiplantae; Streptophyta; Pinopsida; Pinales; Pinaceae.